GUGAAUCAUCGAAUUUUUGAACGCACAUUGCACUCUCUUCUGAGAGUAGGCCUGUUUGAGGUUCAGCCUAAAAAAAAUCCACAUCGUUGCUGUUUCGCGGUGGCGUUCGUCGGAAAGUGGGUUAUCUUAAAUCUUUGUUGUAAGCGACUGAAAAUUAUCUUUACGAUUCCAUGAACGUUUCCAAUAUGUAUUUCUUGUCACGCUUGAGGUUUCGAUUUUAUUAGUCGUG
Molecule: unclassified non-coding RNA, 229 nt
Filed under: Glomeromycetes sp.
Lineage: Eukaryota; Fungi; Glomeromycota; Glomeromycetes
Description: partial contains 5.8S ribosomal RNA and internal transcribed spacer 2
Rfam family: 5.8S ribosomal RNA (bases 1-65)
Source: RNAcentral